UUGGAGGGCAAGUCUGGUGCCAGCAGCCGCGGUAAUUCCAGCUCCAAUAGCGUAUAUUAAAGUUGUUGCAGUUAAAAAGCUCGUAGUUGAACUUCGGGGUCUACCCAUUGGUCAGGCUUAAUUGUCCGUACUGGUGAGAUGGAUCUCUACCUUCUGAGGAACUUUCAUGCCAUUUAUUUGGUGUGAUGGGAAAUCAGGACUGUUACUUUGAAAAAAUUAGAGUGUUUAAAGCAGACUAUCGUCUGAAUACAUUAGCAUGGAAUAAUGAAAUAGGACGGACUGAUUCUAUUUCGUUGGUUUCUAGGAUCACCGUAAUGAUUAAUAGGGAUAGUUGGGGGCAUUAGUAUUCAAUUGUCAGAGGUGAAAUUCUUGGAUUUAUUGAAGACUAACUACUGCGAAAGCAUUUGCCAAGGAUGUUUUCAUUAAUCAAGAACGAAAGUUAGGGGAUCGAAGACGAUCAGAUACCGUCGUAGUCUUAACCAUAAACUAUGCCGACUAGGGAUCGGACGAAGUUAAUUUUAUAAUGACGCGUUCGGCGCCUUACGGGAAAC
RNAcentral lists this ribosomal RNA (551 nucleotides) under uncultured Glomeromycotina. RNAcentral describes it as "SSU rRNA". It matches the Rfam family "Eukaryotic small subunit ribosomal RNA", at positions 548 to 1098 of the family's 1831-position model. Lineage: Eukaryota; Fungi; Glomeromycota. The record is from RNAcentral.